This 758-nucleotide long non-coding RNA is filed under the name Marmota monax (woodchuck). Lineage: Eukaryota; Metazoa; Chordata; Mammalia; Rodentia; Sciuridae. The record is from RNAcentral.
AAUUAGUUUAUUUUUUAUUAUUAGUUGUUCAAAACUCUUAUACAUUUUUUAAAAAUAUUUAUUUUUUUAGUUGUAGUUGGACACAAGAACUUUAUUUUAUUUAUUUAUUUUUGUGUGAUGCUGAGGAUCGAACCCAGGGCCUCACACAUGUUAGGCAAGUGCUCUACCACUGAGCUACAACCCCAGCCCACUCUUCUACAUUUUUAUCAUGAUACUUAUUCAUCAAUGAUCAUUUUUGCUUGUCAGUCAUCCUGCUAGAUUCAAACUACAUGCACACAGUGAUCUUGUUUACUACUGAAUCAGUUGGCCUAGCAUAGCACUAGCACAUACUGUGUGCUUAAUAAAUUAUGUCUUGAAGAAGUGAGCAACAGAGUGGUCAUGUGAGGAAGGAGUCUAAAGGGUUCAGUAAGAGUUGAGGUGUGACUUGUAAGCAAGGAAGUAGAGGGAAUGUAGACUGCUCCUUGAAGCAGCUUAGCUGUACCAGGAAAAAGAAGAGGCAUGCAGAUAUUUCUUUCCAUUUCUGUUUUUUUUCCCUUUCGUUGAAAUUGAAUGAUUAUAGCAUUCAUUUAUUCCAGAUAAUUAAGAGAAAUGUUGAGUUUAGAGAAGGACUUCUGCAAAGAAAGAAAGAAAAGGAAUUUGAAGGAAUUAAAUGUUUAGAAAAGGUAGGAGAUGAAACUUGCAGAUGAGAUUGUUAGGGAGGGACUACAGUAGGGAAUCAAUGUAAAAACCUCCCUCCCUCUCUGAAGUAGAGCCUUCUU